GAGCUUGCUCUUCUGGAUGAGUUGCGAACGGGUGAGUAACGCGUAGGUAACCUGCCUGGUAGUGGGGGAUAACUAUUGGAAACGAUAGCUAAUACCGCAUAAUAACAGUUGUUGCAUGACAACUGUUUGAAAGGUGCAAUUGCAUCACUACCAGAUGGACCUGCGUUGUAUUAGCUAGUUGGUGGGGUAACGGCUCACCAAGGCGACGAUACAUAGCCGACCUGAGAGGGUGAUCGGCCACACUGGGACUGAGACACGGCCCAGACUCCUACGGGAGGCAGCAGUAGGGAAUCUUCGGCAAUGGACGAAAGUCUGACCGAGCAACGUCGCGUGAGUGAAGAAGGUUUUCGGAUCGUAAAGCUCUGUUGUAAGAGAAGAACGAGUGUGAGAGUGGAAAGUUCACACUGUGACGGUAUCUUACCAGAAAGGGACGGCUAACUACGUGCCAGCAGCCGCGGUAAUACGUAGGUCCCGAGCGUUGUCCGGAUUUAUUGGGCGUAAAGCGGGCGCAGGCGGUUAGAUAAGUCUGAAGUUAAAGGCUGUGGCUUAACCAUAGUACGCUUUGGAAACUGUUUAACUCGAGUGCAAGAGGGGAGAGUGGAAUUCCAUGUGUAGCGGUGAAAUGCGUAGAUAUAUGGAGGAACACCGGUGGCGAAAGCGGCUCUCUGGCUUGUA
Molecule: ribosomal RNA, 675 nt
Filed under: uncultured Bacilli bacterium
Lineage: Bacteria; Bacillati; Bacillota; Bacilli
Description: bacterial SSU rRNA
Rfam family: Bacterial small subunit ribosomal RNA
Source: RNAcentral